RNAcentral lists this ribosomal RNA (274 nucleotides) under uncultured bacterium. RNAcentral's name for it is "partial 16S ribosomal RNA". It matches the Rfam family "Bacterial small subunit ribosomal RNA", at positions 79 to 354 of the family's 1533-position model. The record is from RNAcentral.
AAUACUUUGGUGGCGACCGGCGCACGGGUGCGUAACGCGUAUGCAACCUACCUUUAACAGGGGCAUAACACUGAGAAAUUGGUACUAAUUCCCCAUAACAUUCGAGAAGGCAUCUUCUUGGGUUAAAAACUCCGGUGGUUAAAGAUGGGCAUGCGUUGUAUUAGCUAGUUGGUGAGGUAACGGCUCACCAAGGCAACGAUACAUAGGGGGACUGAGAGGUUAACCCCCCACAUUGGUACUGAGACACGGACCAGACUCCUACGGAAGGCAGCAG